GGUCUAUUAGUCUAGUUGGUUAGGACGUCGGAUUCUGAUUUACACCCAGUUCUUCCGUAAGCCCAGGUUCGAAUCCUGGAUGGACCU
RNAcentral lists this transfer RNA (87 nucleotides) under Colletotrichum orbiculare MAFF 240422. Its description in RNAcentral is "tRNA-Gln for anticodon CUG". It matches the Rfam family "tRNA". Rfam says of the family: Transfer RNA (tRNA) molecules are approximately 80 nucleotides in length. Their secondary structure includes four short double-helical elements and three loops (D, anti-codon, and T loops). The record is from Rfam by way of RNAcentral. Lineage: Eukaryota; Fungi; Ascomycota; Sordariomycetes; Glomerellales; Glomerellaceae.